RNAcentral lists this transfer RNA (72 nucleotides) under Bos taurus (domestic cattle). It matches the Rfam family "tRNA". Rfam says of the family: Transfer RNA (tRNA) molecules are approximately 80 nucleotides in length. Their secondary structure includes four short double-helical elements and three loops (D, anti-codon, and T loops). Further hydrogen bonds mediate the characteristic L-shaped molecular structure. tRNAs have two regions of fundamental functional importance: the anti-codon, which is responsible for specific mRNA codon recognition, and the 3' end, to which the tRNAs corresponding amino acid is attached (by aminoacyl-tRNA synthetases). tRNAs cope with the degeneracy of the genetic code in two manners: having more than one tRNA (with a specific anti-codon) for a particular amino acid; and 'wobble' base-pairing, i.e. permitting non-standard base-pairing at the 3rd anti-codon position. The record is from Rfam by way of RNAcentral. RNAcentral also lists the same sequence under 3 other names. Lineage: Eukaryota; Metazoa; Chordata; Mammalia; Artiodactyla; Bovidae.
UCCCUGGUGGCUCAGAGGGUAAAGCGUCUGCCUGCAAUGCAGGAGACCCAGGUUCAAUCCCUGAGUUGGGAA